CAGUAGCCGCGGGAAUACGUAGGGUGCAAGCGUUAAUCGGAAUUACUGGGCGUAAAGGGCGCGUAGGUGGUUAUUUAAGUGAGAUGUGAAAGCCCCGGGCUUAACCUGGGAACUGCAUCUUAUACUGGGUAACUGGAGUGCAGUAGAGGGUAGUGGAAUUUCCGGUGUAGCGGUGAAAUGCGUAGAUAUCGGAAGGAACACCAGUGGCGAAGGCGGCUACCUGGACUGAGACUGACACUGAGGCGCGAGAGCGUGGGGAGCAAACAGGAUUAGAGACCCGCGUAGUCCCUGUCUCUUAUAC
This 301-nucleotide ribosomal RNA is filed under the name uncultured bacterium. RNAcentral's name for it is "partial 16S ribosomal RNA". It matches the Rfam family "Bacterial small subunit ribosomal RNA", at positions 509 to 807 of the family's 1533-position model. The record is from RNAcentral.